RNAcentral lists this ribosomal RNA (468 nucleotides) under uncultured bacterium. RNAcentral describes it as "partial 16S ribosomal RNA". It matches the Rfam family "Bacterial small subunit ribosomal RNA", at positions 28 to 507 of the family's 1533-position model. The record is from RNAcentral.
GACGAACGCUGGCGGCGUGCUUAACACAUGCCAGUCGAACGGAAAGGCCCUGCUUUUGUGGGGUGCUCGAGUGGCGAACGGGUGAGUAACACGUGAGUAACCUGCCCUUGACUUUGGGAUAACUUCAGGAAACUGGGGCUAAUACCGGAUAGGAGCUCCUGCUGCAUGGUGGGGGUUGGAAAGUUUCGGCGGUUGGGGAUGGACUCGCGGCUAAUCAGCUUGUUGGUGGGGUAGUGGCUUACCAAGGCUUUGACGGGUAGCCGGCCUGAGAGGGUGACCGGCCACAUUGGGACUGAGAUACGGCCCAGACUCCUACGGGAGGCAACAGUGGGGAAUAUUGCACAAUGGGCGGAAGCCUGAUGCAGCAACGCCGCGUGCGGGAUGACGGCCUUCGGGUUGUAAACCGCUUUCGCCUGUGACGAAGCGUGAGUGACGGUAAUGGGUAAAGAAGCACCGGCUAACUACGUG